CCGAGUUUUCAACUCCCAAACCCUAUGUGAACUUACCACACCGUUGCUUCGGCGCGCGCUCGUCGCCGCCGAGGACACAAAACUCUGUCUUGUAUAAGCAUUUCUGAGUGGCCGAAAGGCAAAAAACAAAUGAAUCA
RNAcentral lists this unclassified non-coding RNA (137 nucleotides) under uncultured Verticillium. Its description in RNAcentral is "sequence contains ITS1". The record is from RNAcentral. Lineage: Eukaryota; Fungi; Ascomycota; Sordariomycetes; Hypocreales.